CCUAGUAGCCUAUCAUCCCUGAAAGCAAGUGACACGCAGUUACCUGAGUGAAAGGAGUUGUCUGAAUAGUCUACCAAGAUAUAUAUUUUUCUCUGUUCCGAUUUAACUUCUGUGAAGUAAUUUCAUUUCAUGUCUCGCAACAGAAAUGACAAUGAAUACAACCUGCGUAGUAUGAGAAACCCAAUGGGCGACAGGAGAAAGAGCGACGAUGGAGAGCGGAGUCUCAUUCCGACGCCCUCCGAGUCGAGCGUCAACUGUCCCAGUGUCACUGCCACCUCUGCAGCGGGACAACCGGAGGUUGCCACGGACCAGGAUGUUACACCGGUGUUUGUGUACACUCUUGCGUUUUUCUCCGCCCUGGGAGGCUUUCUUUUUGGAUAUGACACCGGGGUAGUCUCCGGGGCUAUGCUUCUCCUGAAAAAAGAAAUGCAAUUAACCUCUUUAUGGCAGGAGUUAUUGGUCUCUAGUACUGUGGGCGCGGCAGCGAUCUCUUCUCUUGCCGGCGGGGUUCUGAACGGGGUCUUUGGGCGCAGGAUUUGCGUCUUGAUAGCCAGCUUCAUAUUCACUGCCGGAGGAGUUGUGUUAGGGGUAGCGCCAAACAAGAACGUUCUUCUUCUUGGAAGAAUUACAGUUGGUUUGGGAAUAGGCAUUGCCUCCAUGACUGUUCCUGUCUACAUUGCGGAGGUCUCCCCAUCCCACCUGAGGGGACAGCUGGUGACCAUUUAUACCUUGUUCAUUACGGGCGGCCAGUUUAUUGCCAGUGUUAUGGAUGGGGCCUUUACUUACCUGCAACACGAUGGCUGGAGGUACAUGUUAGGCCUGGGUGCCGUCCCUGCAGCUCUCCAAUUCCUCGGGUUCCUGUUCCUCCCUGAGAGCCCCCGCUGGCUGCUGCAGAAGGGCCGUACCCAGGAGGCUCGGCGGGCCCUCAGCAGGAUCCGUGGGGGCCGGAACAUUGAAGAGGAGUACGAAAGCAUCAGGAGCAACAUUGAGGAUGAGCAGGAGGCGUCAGGAGGAGGAACUGUGCUGUGGCGUAUCUUGUCUCACCCCCCUACGCGCAGAGCUUUGACUGUAGGCUGCGGCCUGCAGAUGUUCCAGCAGCUCUCGGGGAUCAACACUGUCAUGUACUACAGCGCCACCAUCCUGCAGAUGUCGGGGGUUGGGGAUGAUAAGACAGCCAUCUGGUUGGCUUCCGCUACAGCUGCCACCAACUUCCUGUUCACACUGGUGGGGGUGUGGCUUGUGGAGAGAGUCGGACGCAGGAACCUGACCAUGGGCAGUUUAAUGGGUACUGGUUUGAGCUUGAUCGUCUUGGCUGUAGGGUUUCUCCUAUCAGCCCAGCACUCUCCUCCUGUCACUCUCCACCCCUCUGGCCCCUCCCUUAACUCCACCUCCUGCACACUGUAUGGGUCCUGUGAGCCCUGCAUGUUGGAUCCUGGCUGUGGCUUCUGUUACCGUGAGAACGGAACUACCAUAUAUGAGUCCUCCUGUCUACCUGUCAAUCAGUCGUCUACUGAGGCCUCCGCCUGGGGCAGGUGUUCAGAUGCCAGUGAUGUGUCUCUCUGGGCCUAUAAUUACUGUCCCACCCCCUAUUCCUGGAUAGUGCUGCUGGGCCUCAUCCUCUACUUGGCCUUUUUUGCUCCAGGAAUGGGCCCCAUGCCAUGGACGGUGAACAGUGAGAUCUAUCCCCUGUGGGCCAGGAGCACAGGGAACGCCUGCUCAGCUGGAGUUAACUGGAUUUGCAAUGUCCUGGUGUCACUCACCUUCCUCCACGUUGCGGAGUAUCUAACGUACUAUGGUGCGUUCUUCCUCUACUCCGGCCUUGCUCUUCUGGGGUUGCUGUUUGUCUUUGGCUGUUUGCCAGAGACACAGGGUCGCAGGCUAGAGGAGAUUGAGGACCUGUUCUCUGGAAGGCUCUGUUUCUGCGGCGCCAAUGACAAAGAAACCUCCAGAAACAUCCCCUACAUCAGGGUAAAGGGAAACGACUACCAUGUCUUGGAGAACGAUGCCUCAGACCUGGACUAGACCGGGAGCGUCUGUUAGUCUGGGAACCUGUUUCCGUCUCUCUGUUUCUGCCUCUGUGUCUGAACUGGCUCACAGGCUGUGGUGCGAAAUUCACUUGAUUUCUGGGCCUUUUGGGUGUAGCAGCUCUGCUAACAGCUCUGCUAAGUGAAUGGAUAAGACUUCUGCCAUAAAGUAGAAUGAAGGACUGAAUUAACUCUUUCUCUCUCCUCGCAACAUAGCAGAUAGUGAUUUGUUGUAGCUGUGGUUGUCUGAGGUGGAGGUGGUCCUGGAAACACUGGUCCUUGAAGUAAUAUCUUUUUUUUAUAUUGGUCACAAGCUACUUGAUGCACAGGCCAAAUAGCUAGUAUGAAUGGUUUUUCGUUGUUCUAGUCCUUUACAGAUUUCAGCAAAGUGCACUAUGGAACUACGGAGGCAGCUGGGGGCAUAGCAUAUAUAACAUUGGAUUGAUGGCAGCUUGACGCCCUUUGGAGCUGGUUGACUACGGGACCAAUAUGUUUCUCCUCGAGGACAGAUGUUUCGUUUAAAUCGUUUUAUUACAUCACUAAGAAUGUUACAACCGUUGCUUCUGAUUGCACAUUGUUGAAUGAGCCUAAUUCAGUUUUCGUUCCUGUUUUGCCUGUGUUCAAAUCAAAGCUCACGUGAUUCAGUUGUACUCUGUUAAACGUUAAAUGUUAGUCGGUGUAUUAUGCAGUCUGGUGUUUUUAUGUACUUACUGGACUUUGUCACGUUCCUGGUGACACUUUACUGUUGAAUAUGGGACACUUUUAUAAGUGUCUUUCUGAGAACCAUGUUUUAUACACAAAACACUUGAGUUAAAUGGGGAUUUGUAUGAUUUGUAAUUAAAACAGAGGUGAAGGUGAUGGACAUUUGAA
RNA transcript from Esox lucius (northern pike), 2894 nucleotides. It is a transcript of the gene named solute carrier family 2 member 13b, with no coding region annotated. The transcript is spliced from 11 exons. Lineage: Eukaryota; Metazoa; Chordata; Actinopteri; Esociformes; Esocidae. The record is from RefSeq and is a predicted model, not a curated record.